CGGGAUUUCAUCUUUCGGGAUGAAUGAGAGUGGCGCACGGGUGCGUAACGCGUAUGCAACCUACCUGUUACAGGGAGAUAGCCCGGGGAAACUCGGAUUAAUAUCCCAUAGGAUAUAUUAACUGCAUGGUUUAUAUAUUAAAGCCUUCGGGUGGUAACAGACGGGCAUGCGUAGGAUUAGCUAGUUGGAGAGGUAACGGCUCACCAAGGCGACGAUCCUUAGGGGUUCUGAGAGGAAGGUCCCCCACACUGGCACUGAGAUACGGGCCAGACUCCUACGGGAGGCAGCAGUNGGGAAUAUUGGUCAAUGGGCGAGAGCCUGAACCAGCCAUGCCGCGUGCAGGAAGACGGCGUUCUGCGUUGUAAACUGCUUUUAUCUGGGAAGAAAAAGCCCUUGCGAGGGAAAUUGCCGGUACCAGAAGAAUAAGCACCGGCUAACUCCGUGCCAGCAGCCGCGGUAAUACGGAGGGUGCAAGCGUUGUCCGGAUUUAUUGGGUUUAAAGGGUGCGUAGGCGGCUGAUUAAGUCAGCGGUGAAAGUUCUCGGCUCAACCGAGAGACUGCCGUUGAUACUGGUCAGCUUGAGUUAUGGAGGGGUACAUGGAAUUUAUGGUGUAGCGNNGAAAUGNAUAGAUACCAUAAGGAACACCGANNNNAANGCGUUGUACUGGCCAUAAACUGACGCUNAGGNACGAAAGCGUGGGUAGCGAACAGGANUAGAUACCCUGNUAGUCCACGCCNNANNNAUNAUNAC
RNAcentral lists this ribosomal RNA (751 nucleotides) under marine CFB-group bacterium SY024. Its description in RNAcentral is "partial 16S ribosomal RNA". It matches the Rfam family "Bacterial small subunit ribosomal RNA", at positions 67 to 816 of the family's 1533-position model. The record is from RNAcentral. Lineage: Bacteria; Pseudomonadati; Bacteroidota.